Non-coding RNA from Megalobrama amblycephala (Wuchang bream), 368 nucleotides. NCBI's taxonomy places the organism in Eukaryota, Metazoa, Chordata, Actinopteri, Cypriniformes, Xenocyprididae. The record is from the annotation of a RefSeq genome assembly.
UUCGGUGGAGGAACUGAACUGGUGAUCAGAACUGGUCCCGCAGUGAAGCCCUCCGUGUCUCUGCUGCCGCCCUCUUCUCUGCAGAUCUCUGGAGACUCAGCCGCACUGCUCUGCCUGCUCAGCUCUUACUCUCCACAGGGGGCGACGGUGAGCUGGACGCUGGACGGGUCAGAGGUCACCGAGGGGGUUCAGACCAGCGCAGAGAGCGAGCGGGACGGACGCUACAGCCGCAGCAGCGUCCUGAGCCUCAGCAAAGCACGCUGGGAAGGCGCGGAUCGCUUCGUCUGCAGAGUAAGACAUGACGGAGCUGAUCACGAGGCCUCGUUCCUCAAGAGCUCCCAGUGCUGAUGUUUCUCCGGUCCAGACGA